RNAcentral lists this long non-coding RNA (958 nucleotides) under Mytilus galloprovincialis (Mediterranean mussel). The record is from RNAcentral. Lineage: Eukaryota; Metazoa; Mollusca; Bivalvia; Mytilida; Mytilidae.
AAGAUGCCUUAGGCCAAUUAAAAUAAAUUGAUAGAUUUUCAUCCCCGCCCGCCCCUCUGAAAUCGUCCCGCCCCGAUUUUUUUUAUUUUGAAAAAUUUACGAUUUCCGGAUUAGUUCAUCUCCGUUUCCGGUAACCGUCAAAAAUUUUGUUUCCUUUCAGACUUCCUGUUUCAAUUUUCGGUUUUCGUAUUACUUCGAGUAAUUAAAAAAGAUUCUGCAGCUCUACGAUGACAAAAUCGUCUACCGAGAAUAGAGAUUGAUUUCAAGAAGGGCAUGAAAUAAUCGGGUUACAAGUUAUACGCUGUGUCCAAGAUGGCAAAUCGCGGUAUGACACAAAUUUCUGUGAUUAAGAAAACCGUGGAUUUUUUUAUUGAUAAAAUGACUUUGUGGCAGGAAUUGUGGACUAUGAAUUAUACCCAAAGAGCUCGAAUCGUGGAACACAUUCGUACAAAACCAUAACUGUAUAAUUAAAAUGACGCAAGCUCGAACUUGUUAGAUUUAUGACCGUACAAUUGAGUUCAAAAAGUCGGCAAACAUACACUUAGAUUAACCCAUGGCUUUUUUAAUGACAAACAGCACAAACACCUUCUGUCCCAAUACCCUUAAGGUGGUACCCAACACUUUCACUAAAAUUAAUUUGGCUCGUUUAAUUUUCAUAAAAUUUUGUCAAAGUAUAAUUUACUUUGACACUUUAACAAAAAUAUAAAAAUUAAAAAAAAUUUGAACCAAUCGUUUUGUCAGAAAAAUUACACUGGUUAUAUAGCAAUUUGAUAAACGCCAAUUUUGAUCAUUGCGAAGCUUAAUAUUGCUUUUACAACACAACGUAAUUAAAACGUUUAGCUGACUUUACAGAGUUAUCUCCCUGUAGUGUUAGGUACCACCUUAAUAGAGCCAUUAAACAUCUUCUCUUUUUUGGUUAAGUUCAUGUUUUACAUAUUAAUCAUACAAGCACCAACCC